UACAGAACGCCCGGGCUUCGGCCUGGUUAUUCAUAACCCUUUGUUGUCCGACUCUGUUGCCUCCGGGGCGACCCUGCCUUCGGGCGGGGGCUCCGGGUGGACACUUCAAACUCUUGCGUAACUUUGCAGUCUGAGUAAACUUAAUUAAUAAAUUAAAACUUUUAACAACGGAUCUCUUGGUUCUGGCAUCGAUGAAGAACGCAGCGAAAUGCGAUAAGUAAUGUGAAUUGCAGAAUUCAGUGAAUCAUCGAAUCUUUGAACGCACAUUGCGCCCCCUGGUAUUCCGGGGGGCAUGCCUGUUCGAGCGUCAUUUCACCACUCAAGCCUCGCUUGGUAUUGGGCAACGCGGUCCGCCGCGUGCCUCAAAUCGUCCGGCUGGGUCUUCUGUCCCCUAAGCGUUGUGGAAACUAUUCGCUAAAGGGUGUUCGGGAGGCUACGCCGUAAAACAACCCCAUUUCUAAGGUUGACCUCGGAUCAGGUAGGGAUACCCGCUGAACUUAAGCAUAUC
RNAcentral lists this ribosomal RNA (508 nucleotides) under uncultured fungus. Its description in RNAcentral is "eukaryotic LSU rRNA". The stretch from base 157 to 310 matches the Rfam family "5.8S ribosomal RNA". Lineage: Eukaryota; Fungi. The record is from RNAcentral.